RNAcentral lists this ribosomal RNA (134 nucleotides) under uncultured eukaryote. RNAcentral's name for it is "partial 18S ribosomal RNA". It matches the Rfam family "Eukaryotic small subunit ribosomal RNA", at positions 1299 to 1458 of the family's 1831-position model. The record is from RNAcentral.
UCGUGGAGUAAUUUGUCAGGUUAAUUCCGUUAACGAACGAGACCUUAACUUGCUAAUUGGGGGCGAACAUUUCAUGUUCAACCCUAUUAGAAGGACCAUGUGUGUAUAACACAAGGAAGCGUGAGGCAAUAACA